CGCUCUCUGCGGUGUUCGAGUAGAGGGCUGGGUAACCCCUUGAUCCUAAUUAAUUUUACCCCAGGGAGAAAGCUGUCGGCGUGGUGUGCAUGUCCGCCUUGUAGCGGAAAGCCUGAUAUGCCGCUCCGUUCCCCCACUUGAGCCGCCUGGUUCAAGGGCAAAGGCCCGAGACGGCACAGGCGGAGAGCGC
This 190-nucleotide non-coding RNA is filed under the name Candidatus Competibacter sp. RNAcentral describes it as "6S RNA". It matches the Rfam family "6S / SsrS RNA". Rfam says of the family: E. coli 6S RNA was the first non coding RNA to be sequenced, but its function was unknown until recently. It consists of 184 nucleotides that fold into an extended hairpin structure with a large single-stranded internal bulge. Lineage: Bacteria; Pseudomonadati; Pseudomonadota; Gammaproteobacteria; Candidatus Competibacteraceae. The record is from RNAcentral.